GACCUCCGCAUGGCGGCAGCCGGUCCCGAGUCCUGCCCAGCAGGGAGGCGGCUGAGGCCUGGCGAGAAUUCCAGCAUGGCGCAGGCGGGCCGGCAGUGCUGGGGGACCCGGCGCACCCUCCGCAGCCACCGUGGGACGGAGGGGCAACAGGGCUCCCGGACUCUGCAAAGGAUGCUGUGGCGGAGACUGAUACGGGUCUGAGACGGCUGUCCAAGGCCCAAGUGAGAGUUAAACCACAUGCCCAGCCAGUGCUCACCACCCGGGCCAACACCAUGUCUCCAAAGCACGGCACAGGACAUUCCACCAACGGAGCAUCCCAAAAGGGAAUAAACUAGAGAUACCGGCUGGCUCAUCCCAUCAACCAUGUGGGAGACUCGGCGCCUGCAGAUGCGGUGGGACCUGCCUCCAUUAAAGGCACCUUCCGUGGGGACAGCCAGGACUCCCACGCGGAGCACAGCAGAACCUGUGAACGAGACCUUGUUUGGAGAAAGGAUCUGGAAAUGAGAUCAUCCUGGAUUAUCCACAGCUGAGCCCUAAAUCCAAUGGUGGAGAAAAUGAAGGCUGCAUACGUGGUUGGCGUGAGGAAAAGUCAGUUGACGGGAAUUUCCUGAUUUAAGGGAAGGUUCAGCUGCAUCUGUAUGCUAAAGGGCUGUCCUCCAGAUCAGAUCAAGAAGCCUCGGGAAGGUAAUGCAAAAGAAUUUCUGAUAUCCUUGGUGUGGGGGAAAUUUGUUACACGGACACAGAAAGCCUUGCCUUGCAGGAAAAGAUUCUUAGAAGGCACCAGAUUAAAAGAAAGAACUUCUGUUCCUUGAAAACACAUCAUCAAGAGAGUGAAAAGGCAAACCCCAGGGUAGUAGAUGUUUGCUACACACAACAAAUGUUGGCUUGUCUCCAGAAUAUAUAAAGAACCUCUACAGAUGAAUAGGAACUCAAUACACAAAGGGCAGCCGGCUUGAACAGGCCCCUCGGGGACGGGGGUAUCCAAGUGCCCAGUGCUUGGUGGGAAGCACUCAGCUUCGUUAGUAUGACCAGGAAAAUGCAAAUCAUAAGGCUUCCACACAGGCUUAGAAAAGGCUAAGACAUUGCAAAGUCUGACAGUGGCAAGUGCGGGCAAGGACGUGCGUCAACAGGAAACUGUGGGGGUGAAUGGCUUUAAUCUCUUUGGGAAACUGCUUGGCAUCAUCUGAUGAAUGUAAAGACACACUAGAUCCCAGACUCAAUGGCUCCACUUCCAGAUUGACCCAAGAGACUCGUGCCCACGUGCCCCAAAGAACAUCCCAGGGAUGCCCACGACAGCUUCAUCCCUAGUUGCCAAGAAAGGGGAACCGCGUGGACACGUGCCUGCUGACAGUAUGGCGAUCUGAGGGACAGCGGGCAUCCCCGCGGGAGUGUGGGCAGCACUGAGCACGAGCGCCUGGGGCUCCUCGACGCAGUGUGGACGGACCACUCGCGCACACUAUUGAUCCACGUGAGCCAGCACAGCAGGGUGCCCACUUCGUGGCUUCUGGUUAAACGUUAAAAAUGGGCAAAGCCACAGCACGGUGCUCAGGAAUUGGAGCUUCCAUGGGAAAACUGGCGGUGAGUAAGACCCCAUCCCACUCCCAGAACACGAAGAGAGGCAGCCCAGAACAGCUGGCACUAGAACUGCAGGUGGACUGUGCCAGGUGCCAGGUGGGGCCCUCACAGCAGGCGGCCUGGGGACACGUGGGCACUGGCGAAGGUGGCAGGAACAAGCCUGGUGGGAGGUGAGGCUGAAAUGAGGUUCACCCCAGUGGCUCCAUCCACGGCCCAGGCUCUUCUGGCACUGAGAAGGCAGAGGUGGCACCCCGCCGAGGGGCAGAGGAAACCGGCCCUUGGGCAGCCUUAGGAGAAGCGGGGGCCGGUGUGCGCAGGAGAGGGUGGACGCCCCAGAAGCAGCCACGGUGGCCAGGUCAGCUGUGAGAUGCCACGGGUGGGAGAUGCAGGUAGCUGUGCAGCGGUGCCCUGGGCUCAGGGGAAGGGGCUGGGUCAGGUCCCCGGGGCUGGCUGGGGUCUGGACAUGGCUCCCUGGCCCUGAGGCACCAGCAGCAGUUCUGAGUGGGGUGGGACUGGCCUGGUGUGUUUCUGGGCGGGGAUCCAGUGUGAGCGGGUGAACAGUGAGUGGUGGCCAUGGGCACGCUGAGGUAAGCACACUUCGCCCACCUCUGUGAGCCAGGAAGACGUGUCACAUGCUUCCUGACAAGGCAGAGGGUGCUGGGAGCUCGCCUGUGUCAGACAUGAGGGCACUUGGACCAGGGCCUGAGUUUGAAGCCACAUCCAUACCCCAUACACGGUGCUGGCUGCUCCCGGCCCCACUGACUGAUGACUGAUGGCCAGAGGGAGGCAGCAGCUGUGUGAAGUCACCUGGCAGGUGCGGCUGUUGGUGGCAUUCCCUGGGCGGAGGCCACGUUGGACAUUUGUGAACAAAUGAGCAGGUCGGGGUUACAGGAUCUGGGAAAUGUGGUCUGUGAUGCCACGUGCCCUGGGUGAUCACGUGGAGCCCACAUGGGCAAGCACCUUUUAUCAUGCCAAGAAGUCAAACGUGGGAUGCCAUGUGGGGAAGAUGCCCUGGGUGGGGAAUCCUUGUGGGGGUUGUCCUGGGUGGUGCAGCCUUGGAGAAGGAAUGGCCUAGGGGGUGGCUCUGGGAUGUGGAUGUCCUGGAAGGGGGAAAGCCCUUAGGGGGAAAGCCUGUUGCAGAUGCCCUAGGAGGGAAGCCCUGUGUGAGAGAUCAUCUGGGUGGGGGCUGCCCCGGGUGGGGGAUCAUCUGGGUGGCAGAUCAUCUGGGUGGGGGAUCAUCUGGGUGGAGAAUCAUCUGGGUGGAGGACCAUCUGGGUUGGGGAUGCCCCAGGUGGGGGAUCAUCUGGGUGGGGGCUGCCCUGGGUGGGGGCUGCCCUGGGUAGAAGAUCAUAUCAGGGGGAUGUGGUGGGUUAUGGCCCUGUGGCACCCCCAAACACACACACACCAAGAAGAAGCUGGUCUCCCUAGGAGGAGGAUCCACACAGGGCACCUUGGGGUUUGGCUCGUGCAUGCUGGGGACAAGGCCUGAGCCCCAGAUGUGGCUGGGCCUGACCCAGGCAGCUCAACACCUUCCUUCCCAGGAAACACCUUUUGCUCGAGCAGUAGGAACUAGGCGUGUGUAGAUUCUGCUGCCUGAUCCUGGCUCCUGACUGAGGGUCUGUGGGCUCAGAGGGACUUGACACCCAGCCACAACCCUCCUGGGCACAGCCUUCUGGCUCCCCCAGCCCAGGCGGAGGCAUUGAGCGACUCUCCUCACCCAGAGUGUCUUCCCGAAGGCGCUUCUGCCUGAGGGCACCAGGCUGGGCCAGGGAAUUCGGGAAGAUGGACCAACCGCAGCUCUAAGAUUAAAAUGCAGCCAGUGACCAGCGGAGCUUCCUCCACGCACACGCGGUCCAAUCCCCAUGACUUCAUGUUUUGUGAAGAUGCAGAGCGAGUUCAUGCCGGCGCCUUUCUGAAUCAGAGAUCCCUUUAGAAACCAUGAAAGCUGCAGACCCCUCCCGGGAAAACGCACACACCCUCCUGGAGCUCGCCUUCCGCAGCCGCUCCCGGAGCCCGCCCCUCCCCCGCAGGCCCUCCGAGGAUCACGUGGUGGGGAGGGGCUGGCACCGAGCGGCUGACAGGCGCGAGAGCCCAGUUCAAGGCGCCGGCAUCAGGCUGCAGCUGCCUCACUCCCCUCCACUUCCUGCCCCUUCCCGGCCUUGGUCCAGCCCCAUCUCCUACUCCCAGGCCACAGGGAGCUGGGUCACCUCCCAGGGGCAGGGGCUGGCUGGGCGCGGGGGGAGACCUCUCCCCCUGAGAAGUCAGGCGGGGAGGGGUGGCCGGGGUGG
Pongo pygmaeus (Bornean orangutan) is the source of this 3863-nucleotide long non-coding RNA. RefSeq lists it as uncharacterized. The transcript is spliced from 4 exons. The record is from RefSeq and is a predicted model, not a curated record. Lineage: Eukaryota; Metazoa; Chordata; Mammalia; Primates; Hominidae.